Long non-coding RNA from Xenia sp. Carnegie-2017, 397 nucleotides. RefSeq lists it as uncharacterized. Lineage: Eukaryota; Metazoa; Cnidaria; Anthozoa; Malacalcyonacea; Xeniidae. The record is from RefSeq and is a predicted model, not a curated record. The transcript has 2 exons.
AGAGAUGGAGAGAUGUUUGAAUGUGGAAAGGGCAAAACAGAUCAGCCUGCCUGGGCAGGCAUUGGUUGGAUCGAAUGAAGAGUUGAAGUACAUCAUCAACUAUAAGUUCACCAUGCAAAGGAAAACGAGGCUUGCAGUAGUCAUUACAUCUUUUUACGUUUGGUGGAUUGUAUUUAACCUUAGAUUUAAAUUCUGUUUCGUUAACUGUAAGAACAAAAUGAAGUUUUUAAGUUAAGCUGUGGUUAUUCAACGUCAUUGUCACAUUCAGUAAUCUGGCUUACUUUCGUUUGAAGUAAGGUUCUUGUUUAAAUCAAAAUUAAUUGCCGGUCCUGAACUCUUCCAAUGACAAGAAAUGUAAUCGUUGACAACAUAUUUAUAAAACUUCUUGUAUUUUGAA